RNAcentral lists this ribosomal RNA (251 nucleotides) under uncultured bacterium. RNAcentral's name for it is "partial 16S ribosomal RNA". It matches the Rfam family "Bacterial small subunit ribosomal RNA", at positions 524 to 774 of the family's 1533-position model. The record is from RNAcentral.
UACGUAGAUGGCAAGCGUUGUCCGGAUUUAUUGGGUGUAAAGGGUGCGUAGACGGGUGAACAAGUUAGUAGUGAAAUACCUCGGCUUAACUGAGGAACUGCUACUAAAACUAUACAUCUUGAGUACUGGAGGGGAAAGCGGAAUUCCUAGUGUAGCGGUGAAAUGCGUAGAUAUUAGGAAGAACACCGGUGGCGAAGGCGGCUUUCUGGACAGAAACUGACGUUGAGGCACGAAAGUGUGGGGAGCAAACA